Molecule: ribosomal RNA, 626 nt
Filed under: uncultured deep-sea bacterium
Lineage: Bacteria
Description: bacterial SSU rRNA
Rfam family: Bacterial small subunit ribosomal RNA
Source: RNAcentral
AGAGUUUGAUCAUGGCUCAGAUUGAACGCUGGCGGCAGGCCUAACACAUGCAAGUCGAACGGUAGCACAGAGAGCUUGCUCUCGGGUGACGAGUGGCGGACGGGUGAGUAAUGUCUGGGAAACUGCCUGAUGGAGGGGGAUAACUACUGGAAACGGUAGCUAAUACCGCAUAACGUCUUCGGACCAAAGUGGGGGACCUUCGGGCCUCACACCAUCGGAUGUGCCCAGAUGGGAUUAGCUAGUAGGUGGGGUAAUGGCUCACCUAGGCGACGAUCCCUAGCUGGUCUGAGAGGAUGACCAGCCACACUGGAACUGAGACACGGUCCAGACUCCUACGGGAGGCAGCAGUGGGGAAUAUUGCACAAUGGGCGCAAGCCUGAUGCAGCCAUGCCGCGUGUAUGAAGAAGGCCUUCGGGUUGUAAAGUACUUUCAGCGGGGAGGAAGGCGAUAAGGUUAAUAACCUUGUCGAUUGACGUUACCCGCAGAAGAAGCACCGGCUAACUCCGUGCCAGCAGCCGCGGUAAUACGGAGGGUGCAAGCGUUAAUCGGAAUUACUGGGCGUAAAGCGCACGCCGGCGGUCUGUCUAGUCAGAUGUGAAAUCCCCGGGCUUAACCUGGGAACUGCA